Molecule: RNA transcript, 816 nt
Organism: Bemisia tabaci
Lineage: Eukaryota; Metazoa; Arthropoda; Insecta; Hemiptera; Aleyrodidae
Source: RefSeq, a predicted model, not a curated record
UUGAAUUGGGAGGGUUAAAAUGAGUUUUCAUGCAUGAAGAUAUGAUAAUGAUUUCAAUAUCAACAUUUAUGUAUAACAAUGAUCAUUGAACACACGAUAUAAAAGGUUCAGUCUCCCACUCAAGUUUAACAGUACAAUAGUUGAGAUCAUCACUCAAAAUUAAUAGUGUUCAAAGCAGGACGUCAAGAUGCAGCUUUUCAGCGCAGCCUUGUUUACCCUCCUCGUAGCGGGAGUAAUUGGAAUGCCCUGUGAGGAGGUCGCCAUUGACCCGACGUACGGCUCCACACCGAUCAUCCUUCAACCUACGCCUUAUAGUUAUGGUAUCGAUCCGAGAAUAAACGAAGCCGAAUAUUUGGCUGAUGAGCCUCUGUCAGAGGGUUACCCUCUACCUGGUGAAGGGUUGCUUGGUGAAGGAGAUGGCAUUAUAUCAUACGACCCGCAUCUCCCGGAGUAUUGAACUGAACCAGUCUUCGGAGCUCAUCCAAUGGAGAAUUUGUACGCAAAAAUUGUAUUGCUUCAUCUGAGGGUGCUGACUGCUGAGUGACUGAUUAAAGAGUGAAAAAAUUUAUCGACUUGUGACUUCAUCAGGCGAUAUUUUUCAUAUACCUACAUGUAUAUUGGCAAAUUGAGUCAUUUGGUCUUAUCUCAUCCAAUACGUGUUCCUUUCAUGGACCAAGGGUAAUUUCAUACGCAGUUUUAUCAGUAGUUUCUAAUUGAACAUGAAAUUUAUGUAAUUAAAAAAACUUGGAAAUUCUACGGUGAGACCGCUCACUUGGGAACAAAUGAAAAUGAAAAAUAAAGAAAAUAUGAAGAUUA